Molecule: ribosomal RNA, 422 nt
Filed under: uncultured Alphaproteobacteria bacterium
Lineage: Bacteria; Pseudomonadati; Pseudomonadota; Alphaproteobacteria
Description: bacterial SSU rRNA
Rfam family: Bacterial small subunit ribosomal RNA
Source: RNAcentral
AGCGUUGUCCGGAUUUAUUGGGCGUAAAGAGCGCGUAGGCGGCUAGGUAAGUCCGACGUGAAAUCUGGAGGCUCAACCUCCAGCGGUCGUUGGAAACUACUUGGCUAGAGUCCGGAAGAGGAGAGUGGAAUUCCUGGUGUAGCGGUGAAAUGCGCAGAUAUCAGGAAGAACACCGAUGGCGAAAGCAGCUCUCUGGGACGGUACUGACGCUGAGGCGCGAAAGCGUGGGGAGCGAACAGGAUUAGAUACCCUGGUAGUCCACGCCGUAAACGAUGGGUGCUAGGUGUGAGCGGUGUCGACUCCGCUCGUGCCGAAGCUAACGCAUUAAGCACCCCGCCUGGGGAGUACGGCCGCAAGGCUAAAACUCAAAGGAAUUGACGGGGGCCCGCACAAGCAGCGGAGCAUGUGGUUUAAUUCGACGC